CCCCAAAUCUCUGCUCCUUUCCAGGUCAGUGAUGUAGCUGUAGGUGUGUUUGUACAGCUCUUUUGGGGCAUAGCACCAGCAUGUCGUGGAGCGGAGCUGAAGUUUUCUACCUGUGUGCAGCAGGGAAGAGCUGGAAUUCAUGCGGGUCUAAGAAACCCACAGGCUCCUGCAUACUCAUAGUUACUAGAGAAGAUCCAGACCUCCAAGGAUGUUUCAGCUCAUUCCUUCCUCAGCCAUUGACUGUUUCUUGUUUGGACACAGAAGUUGCCUGGUUCAAGCCCUGAAGCAUGAAGCACAUCAGAAGACACCUCAGCAGCGCAGGUCCUCCUGCAGUUACCUACACAAACUGCCAAAGCCUCC
This is a long non-coding RNA of Columba livia (rock pigeon), 360 nucleotides long. RefSeq lists it as uncharacterized. The record is from RefSeq and is a predicted model, not a curated record. Lineage: Eukaryota; Metazoa; Chordata; Aves; Columbiformes; Columbidae. The transcript is spliced from 3 exons.